GAUGAACGCUGGCGGCGUGCUUAACACAUGCAAGUCGAGCGAUGAAGUUUCCUUCGGGAAACGGAUUAGCGGCGGACGGGUGAGUAACACGUGGGUAACCUGCCUCAUAGAGUGGAAUAGCCUUCCGAAAGGAAGAUUAAUACCGCAUAAUGUUGAAAGAUGGCAUCGUCAUUCAACCAAAGGAGCAAAUCCGCUAUGAGAUGGACCCGCGGCGCAUUAGCUAGUUGGUGGGGUAACGGCCUACCAAGGCGACGAUGCGUAGCCGACCUGAGAGGGUGAUCGGCCACAUUGGGACUGAGACACGGCCCAGACUCCUACGGGAGGCAGCAGUGGGGAAUAUUGCACAAUGGGGGAAACCCUGAUGCAGCAACGCCGCGUGAGUGAUGAAGGUUUUCGGAUCGUAAAGCUCUGUCUUUGGGGAAGAUAAUGACGGUACCCAAGGAGGAAGCCACGGCUAACUACGUG
This 465-nucleotide ribosomal RNA is filed under the name uncultured bacterium. RNAcentral describes it as "bacterial SSU rRNA". It matches the Rfam family "Bacterial small subunit ribosomal RNA", at positions 28 to 507 of the family's 1533-position model. The record is from RNAcentral.